UGGGGAAUUUUGGACAAUGGGCGAAAGCCUGAUCCAGCAAUGCCGCGUGUGUGAAGAAGGCCUUCGGGUUGUAAAGCACUUUUGUCCGGAAAGAAAUCCUUGGCUCUAAUACAGUCGGGGGAUGACGGUACCGGAAGAAUAAGCACCGGCUAACUACGUGCCAGCAGCCGCGGUAAUACGUAGGGUGCAAGCGUUAAUCGGAAUUACUGGGCGUAAAGCGUGCGCAGGCGGUUUGCUAAGACCGAUGUGAAAUCCCCGGGCUCAACCUGGGAACUGCAUUGGUGACUGGCAGGCUAGAGUAUGGCAGAGGGGGGUAGAAUUCCACGUGUAGCAGUGAAAUGCGUAGAGAUGUGGAGGAAUACCGAUGGCGAAGGCAGCCCCCUGGGCCAAUACUGACGCUCAUGCACGAAAGCGUGGGGAGCAAAACAGGAUUAGAUACCCUGGUAGUCCACGCCCUAAACGAUGUCAACUAGUUGUUGGGGGAUUCAUUUCCUUAGUAACGUAGCUAACGCGUGAAGUUGACCGCCUGGGGAGUACGGUCGCAAGAUUAAAACUCAAAUGAAUUGACGGGGUCAUAGCUG
Molecule: ribosomal RNA, 581 nt
Filed under: uncultured bacterium
Lineage: Bacteria
Description: partial 16S ribosomal RNA
Rfam family: Bacterial small subunit ribosomal RNA
Source: RNAcentral